Molecule: long non-coding RNA, 4716 nt
Filed under: Sus scrofa (pig)
Lineage: Eukaryota; Metazoa; Chordata; Mammalia; Artiodactyla; Suidae
Description: lncRNA (ENSSSCG00025064564.1)
Source: RNAcentral
GAACCUCUGGAUCCUGUGCAAAGGCAAGGUGUGUGGAAUAAACACCUGCUGUGCACCCAGCUGGACUCUACAGCACCUACUGUGUAUUCACACUCCUGCAGGAACCCGUGUUCUUAAAGAUGAAUAAUGCUCCACCCCCCAUGCUGGGUCUUCUGGGGAUGAGCCACAGCCUGGAGGAGCUGAGGAGGCCACAUCACAUGAGGAAGCUUUACUGUUUCCCCUUCUCCUGAAAUGUGUCUGGGAUGGAGAGUGUGGAGAGUGGGCCCACCUUUAUCUGGGUCCACUCAGGCUGCUGCAGAGACUACCCCAGACUGGGUGGCUGAUAGACAAGACAUUCAUUUUCCACACUUCCUGAGACUGAGAAGUCUGAGAUGAAGAAACCUAGAAGCAAGGAAGCUGCCACCAUGAUGCAGCGGGGAGUCCGAGGCCCUGGGAGGUCAUAUGACUCAUUCAAGGUCAUCCUGCUGUGGCAGAGAUGCGAUGAAGCCCUGGCUUUGCCGACAAGAGAGAUAAAUUCUAUAAGGGGAGCUGCAGCCCUGUUCCGUGGCCCUGUGCAGCUUUGGCUGAUGUUCAGAUCUGUCCAGGGAAGAGGGGACUGUGUGGCAGAGGAGGUUCCAGGGGACCCUCUUCCCUGGGCCCACCUUGGGAACCUGAGUUCAGGACCCCAACCCCAGGUGCCAGAGUCUUCCCUGCCCUGUACAGCCCUGCUCAUGCCAUGGUCUCCUGUGGACGUUCCCUCCUUCCCACGUUGGCGGUAUUGCUGUCCAAGCUUUGCAGGGGAGGAAUCUGAGGAAUUGAGAAGUCAAGUAACACACCCAAUAGGAUAACUAGGCCUUCUUGGCAGCCAACCUCGAAGCACCACAUCGGGCUUUGAAAUGUGCGGGGCCUUUGAGAUUCAGCGCAUCUGAAUCUGAAUUUAUGCCGUCUCACUUGCUGGAAUCUACUGAUCUGUCCACUGUUCCUGGAAGAAAUACUUUGUUUUCAUGUGCCAGUUGCCUUUCCAGCCUGACUGUCAGCCCAAGGUCGCAGGAGAAGAUCUGAUUGCAUGUCCUUGAUUUUGCUGCUCCCAUUCCGAGAACCAGCUUCCUCCUCUGGAAGGUAAGGUUAUGGUAAUGGCAUCAUCUUUGGAUCCUUGCAGAAAGGAAGUGCCAUGUCAGUGUUCUCCAAACUCCUGACUCAAAAUAAUCCUCUUUUAAGGAACAAGUUCCUAAUUACAGGAAAUUCUAUAGGACUGAUGGACUGAUGGCACCUAAGUUUUUCGAAAUAUGGUCCCUGCACCAGCAGCAACGGCAUCAUCUGGGAAUUUGAUAAAAUGCACAUUCUCAAGUUCCCAUCAGAAACCCUGAGAGUGGGGCCCAACAAUCUGUACUUUAACAAUCCCUGGAGGGAGUUCCCAUCGUGGCUCAGUGGAAACGAGUCUGACUAGCGUCCAUGAGGAUUCAGGUUUGAUCCCUGCCCUUGUCAGUGGGUUAAGAAUUUGGCAUUGCCAUGAGCUGUAGGACAUGGUGUGGAUCCUCCAUUGUGGCUGUGGUGUAGGCGGGCAGCUACAGCUCCGAUUGGACCCCUAGCCUGGGAAUCUCCACACUCCGCAGGUGCAGCCCUAAAAAGACAAAUAAAACAAAACAAAACAACAACCCCCCCCCAAAAAAAUAGGCUCUCUAGGCAAUUCUCAUGCCCCCUAAGUUUGAGACUCUCUGAGCUAGGCUUUUCCUUUCCCUGGGCUGAGAUGUGGGGAUGAUCAUCAUGAAUGGGGAUGUGUGCUCAAGGACCACCUCCAGGGAAGGCAUUAGAAAUGGACGUUGGAGGGCAACUAGCUUCUGGGUAUUGGGGGAGGGGGGGAGGCAUUCAGAUGCCAGGACAGUGCUCAGGAGUAGGGAUGCUGAAGGCAGAUCUGCCAAAGUCUGACCUGUUCCCAGCAGGGCCACAGACUGGAAGAGUGACCCCUGAGAGCACAGUCUAGAUUCAGAUUUGACCUUGACUGAAGUAUCACAAAUGUUUAUCUGUGUUGGGUAAGAGAAAUCAGGAUGCCCAUCCAUUCAUUUAUCCAUCCAUCCAUCCACACCCAUCCAUCCAUCAUCCACCCUUUCUUUCAACUAAAAUGUAUUUGAAUUAAAGUCAAAUUAUUUGAACUUUAUUCUGUGCCAAGCAUUCGUCUAUGCCCUUGGCUCACAGGAAUGAGGCAACCAGAGAUACCAACUUGUAUUCUUUGAUUAAUUAAAAAAGUUAAGAGGUUGAAAAUAUACUUUAAUGAAAACACAGUCCCUCUGAGUGUCACUAUCUGAAAUACUGAAUUAAAUAUUUCUGUGUGGCAUAGCACAGGAGCAAUAUUUACUCUUAAGGUCUAUUCCCAUCUUUGAGGCGCUCAGAACACUGGGUGUAGGAAUUAGACAUGUGGUGGGUAGAAGGUCAUCCGGGGAAAGUCACCAAUAACCUCACUAAAUUGUUUAACUCUCAGAGUUUCCCACCUCUUCUUAUUCAUUUUCUGAUUUAAUCCUGAAAACAAUACUGUGAAGUCUGAGGAAAUUCAGACUCAGAAUUUAAAUGACUUGCCCCAAGUUACAAAGGAAAUGAGCCACAGAACCAUGACGAAAUUGGAAUCUUCAGAUUCUACCAAACCCUGAGCCCACCACGCUGACUGCUAUUCAGAACAGUGGACAGUCAGGUGCUGGGUAACCCAGGUCCUGUUUUGGGCAAGGGGAGAUCUUUUUAGGAUAUCUAGGCUGCCCACCCCACCCGAGUGUAGGGGCAAGCGUGGAGCCAUGUCUACCACCUAACCCAGAAAGCUGCUUAGGAAACCCACGAUCCACUUCCAAAGACCAUCCAUUUUCAAACACGUGCCACUCCUCAGAAACACUGGUGUCACCACCAGGCAUGGCUACUCUCAGAUCAGAAUAAGAAACCCUCAGCCUCCUAACACUGGUGAUUCCCAAGAAUUUAACACCUCACCGGUGCUGACAGGUUAUUGAGAAAAAAACAAACAAACAAAAAAACCAACAAAAAACCCCCCAAAAAAACCAACCAAACAAAAAAACACACCAAAACACACAGUGGUAGUAAAAUUGUGGCUCUUUGAACAAUAUUAAAACACUUCCGCUACCUUUCAUAUAGAAUUAAUUAACAUAAAACCCAGCAUCCUCAUUGCUGCAGAGCCCUAAAGUGGUUGCCAGAAUUUAAUUAGACUUAACCUUUUUUCCUACCCCAGUACCACUUUAUAAUAACUGCAAAUCAUUAUUAAUUCCUUUGGUGUUCACUGUAAUAACAUUAAUCAUGAUGAACUUCUUUCUGUAGUAAUGUGUAUGUAAUAUGUAAUUCCAUAGCAAUUUAGUAUUAGUUAAGGCUAAAUUGAAAUUAAUUUCACCAAAAGAUACUAUUUGUUAUUGGAUACUGUAUAUUCAUAAAAUAAUAUUUUAAAGCAAUUUAUAUGGAGGUAGCCAGAUGAAGAGGCAUUUGGCAAACCUGCUGAAAGUUCAGAGACAGAACUAUUUGCUGCUGAUUACUGGAGCAUGCCUGAUGGCUGGCGUCACAUAUCCCAAGGUACUUGAAAUAGCAAAUCAGAAAAUGGGUAAGCUAUGAUGGGAUGGUCCUUUGAGAUACAGUACCUUAUCAAUCUGAAGGCAUAGCAUUGGACAAGAAUACAUUUUGGAGUCAUUUCCAGAACCAUGCCUAUGAUUUAUUUUCCCAGAUCUCAAGAUUCAAGUCAUGUUUUUAGCCUCUCCCAGGGUCAGUGUUGUCUUCUGUAAAACGGUUACAUUAUCCCCUCGUGGUGGUUGCUCUUCCGGGCUUCCCAGGAUAUGAUCAAUUUGAGUGAUUUGGAAAAUCACAGUAACUGAGAAUGUAUGCAAUGUUAGAAAGAGAAGCAAUGGUCUAUGUGUGUUUUAUCUUGUUUAAUUUCGUUACUUUGUGACGGGAUGUUUGAAAGUGGAGAUGCUGAGAAGUUUCGGAAAGGAAGGUCUUUUUUAGAUAACAGCUGUCCUCAUCACUAAUUUCUAGGCGUCCCCUUGUCUCAACCUUUGCCCUCUGCUGGCCUCUCUAGAUACUCUUAUGUUGACAGACCUCUGGGGACUUUCCUCGGUUCGUUUGUCCAUUCAUCUCACCAGACACAAAAGUGAGUAAGACUUAACUCUGCCUUUGGGAAGCUGGUGGUCUUGGGGCUGUGACCAUAAAAGGAUAUUUAAAGUAAAUUCUGAUAAGGGCAGUAGACAUAUGCUGAGGUCAGGGGUGAUAUUAAAAAUAAGUAAUAGCGCAUAAGCACAGAAGGCCUAAGCUCUGACCAAUCAGCAUGGUGGCUGGCAGGUGGAUGGACACUGGCUGGGCUCAGGGCAUGAUGGGACCCCACAAGAGAGUUCUCUAGGUUGAUGGGCUGGAAGGUGGGAAUCAGGGAAACCUCCCUAGAAAAAGAAAGAGUCGUGGAUGAAACUGGGCUUUGGCCAAGAACAGGGAACAGCAGAGGAGCAGCUCAGAGACAGGAGGCCCCUUGCUGUGUAUGAGACAGCAACUAGGAGCAAUUUGUGCUUAUGGGGGACACAGUCUCCUGAGAAGGAGGGUACGGCCCCGCUGGACCAGUGCACGGGACUCUCACAGAGGGCUUUGUAAGAUGUCCUGGGGGAGCUUGGCUUUCAAAGGCUGAGGGCAGGGGUUGGAGGUGAUGCAAUGGGCAGAAGCCUUGCUUCUGCAUUUAUUUUGAGCACUAAAAAAAAAAAAAAAAAAAAAAAAAAA